GAUGAACGCUAGCGGGAGGCUUAACACAUGCAAGCCGAGGGGUAUUUUGUUUUCGGACAAGAGAGACCGGCGGACGGGUGAGUAACGCGUAUGUAACUUACCCUAUUCAGAGGAAUAGCCCGAGGAAACUCGGAUUAAUACCUUAUAACACUUAGAGUGGCAUCAUUUUAAGUUAAAAGAUUUAUCGGAAUAGGAUAGACAUGCGUCUGAUUAGUUAGUUGGUGAGGUAACGGCUCACCAAGACUUCGAUCAGUAGGGGCCUGAGAGGGUGAUCCCCCACACUGGUACUGAGACACGGACCAG
RNAcentral lists this ribosomal RNA (303 nucleotides) under uncultured bacterium. Its description in RNAcentral is "bacterial SSU rRNA". It matches the Rfam family "Bacterial small subunit ribosomal RNA", at positions 28 to 334 of the family's 1533-position model. The record is from RNAcentral.